RNAcentral lists this ribosomal RNA (453 nucleotides) under uncultured Thiobacillus sp. Its description in RNAcentral is "bacterial SSU rRNA". It matches the Rfam family "Bacterial small subunit ribosomal RNA", at positions 923 to 1382 of the family's 1533-position model. The record is from RNAcentral. Lineage: Bacteria; Pseudomonadati; Pseudomonadota; Betaproteobacteria; Nitrosomonadales; Thiobacillaceae.
GCACAAGCGGUGGAGCAUGUGGUUAAUUCGAAGCAACGCGAAGAACCUUACUACCCUUGACAUGUCCGGAACUUGCCAGAGAUGGCUUGGUGCCCGAAAGGGAAUCGGAACACAGGUGCUGCAUGGCUGUCGUCAGCUCGUGUCGUGAGAUGUUGGGUUAAGUCCCGCAACGAGCGCAACCCUUAUCAUUAGUUGCUACGCAAGGGCACUCUAAUGAGACUGCCGGUGACAAACCGGAGGAAGGUGGGGAUGACGUCAAGUCCUCAUGGCCCUUAUGGGUAGGGCUUCACACGUCAUACAAUGGUCGGUACAGAGGGUUGCCAAGCCGCGAGGCGGAGCCAAUCCCACAAAGCCGAUCGUAGUCCGGAUUGUUCUCUGCAACUCGAGAGCAUGAAGUCGGAAUCGCUAGUAAUCGCAGGUCAGCAUACUGCGGUGAAUACGUUCCCGGGUCUU